GAGCGGUAGAGAGAAGCUUGCUUCUCUUGAGAGCGGCGGACGGGUGAGUAAUGCCUAGGAAUCUGCCUGGUAGUGGGGGAUAACGUUCGGAAACGGACGCUAAUACCGCAUACGUCCUACGGGAGAAAGCAGGGGACCUUCGGGCCUUGCGCUACCAGAUGAGCCUAGGUCGGAUUAGCUAGUUGGUGGGGUAAUGGCUCACCAAGGCGACGAUCCGUAACUGGUCUGAGAGGAUGAUCAGUCACACUGGAACUGAGACACGGUCCAGACUCCUACGGGAGGCAGCAGUGGGGAAUAUUGGACAAUGGGCGAAAGCCUGAUCCAGCCAUGCCGCGUGUGUGAAGAAGGUCUUCGGAUUGUAAAGCACUUUAAGUUGGGAGGAAGGGUUGUAGAUUAAUACUCUGCAAUUUUGACGUUACCGACAGAAUAAGCACCGGCUAACUCUGUG
This 448-nucleotide ribosomal RNA is filed under the name uncultured bacterium. Its description in RNAcentral is "bacterial SSU rRNA". It matches the Rfam family "Bacterial small subunit ribosomal RNA", at positions 64 to 507 of the family's 1533-position model. The record is from RNAcentral.